GAUGAACGCUGGCGGCGUGCCUAAUACAUGCAAGUCGAGCGAACAGAUGGGGAGCUUGCUCCUCUGACGUUAGCGGCGGACGGGUGAGUAACACGUGGAUAACCUACCUAUAAGACUGGGAUAACUUCGGGAAACCGGAGCUAAUACCGGAUAAUAUAUUGAACCGCACGGUUCAAUAGUGAAAGACGGUUUUGCUGUCACUUAUAGAUGGAUCCGCGCCGCAUUAGCUAGUUGGUAAGGUAACGGCUUACCAAGGCAACGAUGCGUAGCCGACCUGAGAGGGUGAUCGGCCACACUGGAACUGAGACACGGUCCAGACUCCUACGGGAGGCAGCAGUAGGGAAUCUUCCGCAAUGGGCGAAAGCCUGACGGAGCAACGCCGCGUGAGUGAUGAAGGUCUUCGGAUCGUAAAACUCUGUUAUUAGGGAAGAACAAAUGUGUAAGUAACUAUGCACGUCUUGACGGUACCUAAUCAGAAAGCCACGGCUAACUACGUG
Molecule: ribosomal RNA, 497 nt
Filed under: uncultured bacterium
Lineage: Bacteria
Description: partial 16S ribosomal RNA
Rfam family: Bacterial small subunit ribosomal RNA
Source: RNAcentral